RNAcentral lists this ribosomal RNA (1258 nucleotides) under activated sludge metagenome. Its description in RNAcentral is "bacterial LSU rRNA". It matches the Rfam family "Bacterial large subunit ribosomal RNA", at positions 945 to 2206 of the family's 2925-position model. The record is from RNAcentral.
CCUGACGAACUCCGAAUGCUAUAACACAUGUCCGGGAGUGAGGCGCGGGGUGCUAAGGUCACGCGCCGAAAGGGAAACAACCCAGAUUAUCAGCUAAGGCCUCUAAAUCUACAUUAAGUUGUUUAAACGAUGUUUGGUUGCUAUGACAGCUAGGAUGUUUGCUUGGAAGCAGCAAUUCAUUUAAAGAGUGCGUAACAGCUCACUAGUCGAGUGACCGAGCGCGGAAAAUAAUCGGGCAUCAAAUGUAGUGCCGAAGCUAUAGGAUCCCACAAGAGUGGAGAUCGGUAGGGGAGCAUUCUGACCUGCGUCGAAGGCGAUUCGUAAGGAUCUCUGGAGCGGUCAGAAAAGAAAAUGUAGGCAUAAGUAACGAUAAAUAAAAUGAAAAAUUUUAUCGCCGUAAGUCUAAGGUUUCCUGAUCAACGCUAAUCGGAUCAGGGUUAGUCGGGUCCUAAGGUGUAACCCGAGAGGGGCAACCGAUGGAAAACUGGUUAAUAUUCCAGUACCUGCUUAUAUUGCGAUGGGGUGACGAAGGUGUGAAAGUACCGCGGGGUUACGGAAUAUCCCGUUAAAGCGUGUAGAUGUAGAUGGAGUAGGCAAAUCCGCUCUUGAAUCGAACGUGAUAGUACUCAAGGUUUUCGAACUGAGAGAUAGUGUACCUAAUCAGACUUCCUAGAAAAACCUCUAAGCUUCAGGUAUAAGCAGCCCGUACCGUAAACCGACACAGGUAGACGAGGAGAGUAUCCUCAGGCGCUCGAGUGAGUCACGGCUAAGGAACUCGGCAAAAUGGACCCGUAACUUCGGGAGAAGGGUCGCCCCAGCAAUGGGGCCGCAGUGAAAAGUAUCAGGCGACUGUUUAACAAAAACACAGGGCUCUGCAAAAUCGAAAGAUGAAGUAUAGGGCCUGACACCUGCCCGGUGCUGGAAGGUUAAGGAAGGUUGUUAGCCGCAAGGCAAAGCUUCCGACUGAAGCCCCAGUAAACGGCGGCCGUAACUAUAACGGUCCUAAGGUAGCGAAAUUCCUUGUCGGGUAAGUUCCGACCUGCACGAAUGGUGUAACGAUCUGAUAACUGUCUCAGCCGUGAGCUCGGUGAAAUUGUAGUCCCGGUGAAGAUGCCGGGUACCCGUAACGGGACGGAAAGACCCCGUGAACCUUCACUACAACUUUGCAUUGACUUUGAGUAAACGAUGUGUAGGAUAGGUGGGAGACUAUGAAGCGGGCACGCUAGUGUUCGUGGAGUCAACGUUGAAAUACCACCCU